This 445-nucleotide ribosomal RNA is filed under the name uncultured bacterium. RNAcentral's name for it is "partial 16S ribosomal RNA". It matches the Rfam family "Bacterial small subunit ribosomal RNA", at positions 354 to 796 of the family's 1533-position model. The record is from RNAcentral.
GUGAGGAAUAUUGGUCAAUGGGCGAUGGCCUGAACCAGCCAAGUAGCGUGAAGGAUGACUGCCCUAUGGGUUGUAAACUUCUUUUAUAAAGGAAUAAAGUCGGGUAUGUAUACCCGUUUGCAUGUACUUUAUGAAUAAGGAUCGGCUAACUCCGUGCCAGCAGCCGCGGUAAUACGGAGGAUCCGAGCGUUAUCUGGAUUUAUUGGGUUUAAAGGGAGCGUAGAUGGAUGUUUAAGUCAGUUGUGAAUGUUUGCGGCUCAACCGUAAAAUUGCAGUUGAUACUGGAUGUCUUGAGUGCAGUUGAGGCAGGCGGAAUUCGUGGUGUAGCGGUGAAAUGCUUAGAUAUCACGAAGAACUCCGAUUGCGAAGGCAGCCUGCUAAGCUGCAACUGACAUUGAGGCUCGAAAGUGUGGGUAUCAAACAGGAUUAGAUACCCGGGUAGUCC